CAGUCAUACCAACGGGGAAAUCAACCUUUCGAGUUUGUUCUUGUGGGUUUCGAGGAGUUUAAAAGCCUUCGGAUUUGCGAGGAUUGGGCUCCAUUGGUGUACUUUCUCGUACGGUUAGUCAACAUCGGUUUUGAAUGUCAUAAAAUGACUGGAGGAAUGUGGCUUCGAUCCCGUAUCGAAGUGUUAUAACCUUUGGUAGAUGUGAUGUUCGAGACCGAGGAUUGCAACGGAUACCCUUCUGGGCUAUUCGUCUGAUCUCUG
RNAcentral lists this ribosomal RNA (261 nucleotides) under uncultured Glomeromycotina. RNAcentral describes it as "partial large subunit ribosomal RNA". The record is from RNAcentral. Lineage: Eukaryota; Fungi; Glomeromycota.